Molecule: transfer RNA, 74 nt
Filed under: Acinetobacter virus 133
Lineage: Duplodnaviria; Heunggongvirae; Uroviricota; Caudoviricetes; Pantevenvirales; Straboviridae
Description: tRNA-Gln
Rfam family: tRNA
About the family: Transfer RNA (tRNA) molecules are approximately 80 nucleotides in length.
Source: RNAcentral
UGUCGCAUGGUGUAACGGUAGCACCACAGAAUUUGACUCUGUUAGUAAAGGUUCGAUUCCUUUUGCGACUUCCA